Molecule: RNase P RNA, 405 nt
Filed under: Pacificibacter marinus
Lineage: Bacteria; Pseudomonadati; Pseudomonadota; Alphaproteobacteria; Rhodobacterales; Roseobacteraceae
Also listed under: 1 other name
Description: RNase P RNA component class A
Rfam family: Bacterial RNase P class A
About the family: Ribonuclease P (RNase P) is a ubiquitous endoribonuclease, found in archaea, bacteria and eukarya as well as chloroplasts and mitochondria.
Source: RNAcentral
ACGGAUGGCUGGGUGACCGCGGGUUUUGGGUGCGUAAGCAUACUGGAACGCGAGGAAAGUCCGGACUCCAUUGAACAACAGUGCCGGGUAACGCCCGGCGGGGGUAACCCUAGGGAUAGCGCCACAGAGAACAGACCGCCUUCUAAAUCGGAGGUAAGGGUGAAACGGUGAGGUAAGAGCUCACCGCGCGCGCGGCAACGCAAGCGGCACGGCAAGCCCCACUGGGAGCAAUGCCAAAUAGGGGUUUCGUGUGAGAUUCUGCGUUCGCGCAGAGUGAUCAUAGGGAGGUUCAAGCCCGAGAGACCCGGGUUGGCAGCUUGAGCGUAUUGGUAACACUGCGCCUAGAGGAAUGGUCAUCGAGGGGGCAACCCCAGACAAAAUCCGGCUUAUAGGCCAUCCGUGCAA